GGUGAACGCUGACAGAAUGCUUAACACAUGCAAGUCUUUGGCGAAGCUGUGCUUGCACAGCCUAGCCAAGGCGGACGGGUGAGUAACGCGUAAGGAACUUGCCCUGCAGUCCGGGAGAACAGACGGAAACGACUGAUAAGACCUGGUAAAGUCAGGCGGACUCAUGUCCAGCCUGGUGAAAAGUGAUGCUGCAGGGGAGCCUUGCGUCCUAUUAGCUUGUUGGUGGGGUAACGGCUCACCAAGGCGAUGCUAGGUAGCCGGCCGGAGAGGGUGGCCGGCCACAAGGGGACGCAGAUACCGCCCCUACUCCUACGGGAGGCAGCAGUGGGUAAUAUUGGACUACGGGGGCAGCGCUGAUCCAGCGAUUCUGUGUGAACGAUGGAGGUUUUCGGAUUGUAAAGUGCUUUCAGCAGGGAAGAAAAAAAUGACGGUGCCAGCAGAAGAGGCGACGGCUAGAUACGUC
Molecule: ribosomal RNA, 463 nt
Filed under: uncultured bacterium
Lineage: Bacteria
Description: partial 16S ribosomal RNA
Rfam family: Bacterial small subunit ribosomal RNA
Source: RNAcentral